Molecule: ribosomal RNA, 327 nt
Filed under: uncultured eukaryote
Lineage: Eukaryota
Description: partial 18S ribosomal RNA
Rfam family: Eukaryotic small subunit ribosomal RNA
Source: RNAcentral
CCCUUAGAUGUUCUGGGCCGCACGCGCGCUACACUGACGAAUGCAACGAGCUUAUAACCUUGUCCGAAAGGUCUGGGUAAUCUCCAAAUUUCGUCGUGAUGGGGAUAGAUUAUUGCAAUUAUUAAUCUUCAACGAGGAAUGCCUAGUAAGCGCAAGUCAUCAGCUUGCGUUGAUUACGUCCCUGCCCUUUGUACACACCGCCCGUCGCUCCUACCGAUUGAAUGGUCCGGUGAAGCGUUCGGACCGUGGCCUUUGGACGGUUCGCCGUCUGUUGGCUGCGGGAAGUUCGUUAAACCUUNUNAUUUAGNGGAAGGAGAANUCGUANCA